This 469-nucleotide ribosomal RNA is filed under the name uncultured Alphaproteobacteria bacterium. RNAcentral describes it as "bacterial SSU rRNA". It matches the Rfam family "Bacterial small subunit ribosomal RNA", at positions 9 to 524 of the family's 1533-position model. Lineage: Bacteria; Pseudomonadati; Pseudomonadota; Alphaproteobacteria. The record is from RNAcentral.
GAGUUUGAUCUUGGCUCAGAGCGAACGCUGGCGGCGGGCCUAACACAUGCAAGUCGAACGAACCCUUCGGGGUUAGUGGCGGACGGGUGAGUAACACGUGGGAACGUACCCUUAGGUUCGGAACAACACAGGGAAACUUGUGCUAAUACCGAAUGUGCCCUUCGGGGGAAAGAUUUAUCGCCUUUGGAGCGGCCCGCGUCUGAUUAGCUAGUUGGUGAGGUAAAGGCUCACCAAGGCUACGAUCAGUAGCUGGUCUGAGAGGAUGAUCAGCCACACUGGGACUGAGACACGGCCCAGACUCCUACGGGAGGCAGCAGUGGGGAAUAUUGGACAAUGGGCGAAAGCCUGAUCCAGCAAUGCCGCGUGAGUGAUGAAGGCCUUAGGGUUGUAAAGCUCUUUUACCCGGGAUGAUAAUGACAGUACCGGGAGAAUAAGCCCCGGCUAACUCCGUGCCAGCAGCCGCAGUAAU